This 115-nucleotide ribosomal RNA is filed under the name Klebsiella pneumoniae. Lineage: Bacteria; Pseudomonadati; Pseudomonadota; Gammaproteobacteria; Enterobacterales; Enterobacteriaceae. The record is from RNAcentral.
UGGCGGCACUAGCGCGGUGGUCCCACCUGACCCCAUGCCGAACUCAGAAGUGAAACGCCGUAGCGCCGAUGGUAGUGUGGGGUCUCCCCAUGUGAGAGUAGGAAACUGCCAGGCA